Molecule: long non-coding RNA, 5035 nt
Filed under: Sus scrofa (pig)
Lineage: Eukaryota; Metazoa; Chordata; Mammalia; Artiodactyla; Suidae
Description: lncRNA (ENSSSCG00045010091.1)
Source: RNAcentral
AAGAAACCAAAAUCAUGAUAAUAAAUGGAACUACCACUGGAUCUUAUUGUAGUGGAGACCACAGGGAUUUGUUAGGAAGUGAAUCAGAGAGCAUGUCUUGCAAAUGUCUGGAGGUUGGAGCUGAUACAGAGCACCAUCGAUUGUUGCCUCAAAGAUGCUAGCUCCACAUUUUAAUUUUUAAAAAAUAUUUAAAAUAAGAUUGAAAUCUGUUUUUUGGGUAAAAUCUCCCCAUUUGUAAAUACAAGCAUUAAUUUAGCAUAAUAUUCUGGAGAUGGACUCAAAUUUAUCUGAAGAUCAUCAAAAGUCCUCAAGUUGCUGGUUUGUGAUAUUUUGGACAGUUUCUAUCUAUGGGCUUAUGAUGCUUCUAAUGGCUCAAAUUCAGUUCCAUUUCCUUGAUGUCUUAAUUGCACCACUGUGAUUCUUAACAUUGUCCUUACACAUUUAGGAAACCAUCCUACUUCGAUCUUCUUCACACCCACCUAAGCUGGCCACCCCAACCAUGGUUCUUUCUCAGCUUCCAUCUAAGAGAUUGGAAGGGGAGGUUGCUUCUGGGAGGAUCUUCCCAGUGUAUUCCUAGAGCAGCCUACAUCAACACGCUGUCUGUGAAUGUAGAGCAAUGAGCCUCAGGGCUUGGGAAAGAUGCACUUGAAUUAUUACAUUUCUGACUAGAACAUUUUGCAUGACUGCAAACUUAUGGGCGGUGGCUUGGUGAUACAAAUCAUUCAGAUUUUCUUUGUCUCAGAACAAUCCAAACAAGAAGUGCCGAGGAAAGUUCAAAAUAUGUAUAAACAAUGGUGCAAAUCACUCAUAUUAAGUCUGCAGAUCGGAUUAAACAUUUGACUACAGCUUCGACCUGAAAUAAGCAAAGACAAAUGUCCUCCUAAUCCCAUAGGAAGUGCCACAGCAAAGCCAAAAUGUGCAUGUAUCUGAUUCUCUCUUGCUGUCUUUCUCACACACAACGUUCAGUCUGGUGAAUUUUCUGAUACUUCCUUGAGGCCAUCUUCACUUCGGGGAUACUUCUCUUUAUAAACCAUCUUGGAGCUAAUUUCUAACGUUUAAGUAUGUAAUAUUUUUUAAUUUAUAGUGUGUUUUUAAUAAUUAUCCUUGAUAGACCAUUUGGAAAAUACUGUGAAGUACAUGAACUAGUAUAAAAAAUUACAUAUAACCCCAUCAUCACCCAGAGACACUCACUGUUAUAAUUUUGGCCUAUGUUCUUCUAACCUUUUUGCUAUUCUCUUAUGGAAAACAAACAUACAAACAACCACAACAACAAUGAAACCCCAAGGCAAAAAACUCUCUUGACUUUAUAGGAAGAAUUUGAAUAUGAAGAAGUAGAUUUUUGUGGUCAUUUCAUUUAAGAUAAGUAAGAAAUAAGAAAAAAAAAUGCUGAGAGGUGAGACUACCAGAAAGUCAGAAUCCAAUUUGUCAGAGGAUAAAAUGAAUACUUCCUCAGCAAUAUUGUUAGCACAAUUUGACCAAAAACAUAAAGGCCAAGGAGCAUGGAACUAUCUGGGGCCUUGGAUACAGUGAUGACAGGUGAGAAUACAGGUGAUACCUAUCGACACAGCUGAGAGCUCCUGAUAGAGAAGUAGAGGAUUCUUACAAAAGAAUCAUCAGUUGAAUGACUUUGGGUAGGAGGAAUUCUUAUCCCAAUCCAGCCUGAAGCACCUUCCAUUAGUCACUCUGUCUCCAGUACUUCUGCCUAAUCAAUCAUCAUAAAUAAAUGCAACAAAUUCUAUAAUAUUCUACCUGUAUAGGUGUAUGUGAAGUUUCAAUGUGUGCAUUUGAUAUAUGUAUUCAGUUAUACAUAUAUCUAUAUAUAUUUUUUCAUAUUAUUUUCCAUCAUGAUUUAUUUCAAGACACUGAAUAUAAUGCCCCAUACUAUACAUGACCUUGUGUUUAUGUAUUCCAUAUACAAUAGUUUGCAUCUGCUAAUCCCGAACUCCCAAUCCAUCCCUCCCCCACCCCCCAAAAGAACCAUCUACCUAUUACUGGUCACUUUCAUUCACCCCAAACAAAUCCCAUGUAUUCUAAUACUGGACCCUUAUCUAAUGUAUGAUUUGCAAAUAGAUUCUCCCAUUCUAUGGCUUGUAUUUUCAUUUUUUAAAAUGUUAUCUUUUGAUCCACAGAAGUUUUUCAUUUUGAUAAAAUCCAAUUUAUCUGGAGUUCCCGUCGUGGCUCAGUGGUUAACGAAUCUGACUAGGAACCAUGAGGUUGCGGGUUCGAUCCCUGGCCUUGCUCAGUGGGUUAAGGAUCUGGCAUUGCUGUGGCUGUGGAGUAGGCUGGUGGCUACAGCUCCCAUUAGACCCCUAGCCUGGGAACCUCCAUAUGCCACGGGAGCAGCCCAAGAAACAGUAAAAACACACACACAAAAAAAAUCCAAUUUAUCUUUUUUUUUUUCUUUUCAUCAUCAUUCUUUAACAAGUGGAUAUCCAAUUGUUUCAGUACUAUUUAUAGGAAAAUACCUAUUAUUUAAUGUCUCAUUUAAUUUUCACAGUAGUUCAAUGAAGUAAGGAUCACUGCCCCUGUUUGCAAAUGAGGAAAUUGAGGCUCAGGAUGGUUAAGUGACUUGCCUGAGGCCCUGAAGAAUUCUAAGAGGUGGAAUUUAAUUUGGCUCUAAAGGCAGAGAUCUUUCAAUAAUACCAAGAUGGGCAUGCCAAUAAAUGGUAAAAGAAACACACACAUAAAAGAAUACUCCUCAUUUGAUGCCUUUAAAUUUUUGUUUCAAUUAAAUAUAUCCUUCUUGAGGAGCUGUGAGCAUCGAGAGCUCCAGGCCUAGGAAAGAUGAAUAAGCACAGUUGUUAUUUUUAAAAGCUACUAAUAAUAUACUAGAAACAAGGGGAUUUCCUAUAAGCAGGAGAGCCUUAGAACUCAGCAGGUUUGGUCAAAGCAGCAGAAACCAGCUUAUGGAGCUGCAGUCAGAGAGUCAGCAGGAGCUUGGAGAACCAACAAACAGACCAGAACUGAUGCAAUGGCUCAGAAACUGAAAGCUAGGGACUGUCUUGGGCAAAGGCAGUAAGGCCAGAAUAUCACAGCCAUUGCAGAAUCUCUCCAUAGACACUGUGAGUGCAUCUCAUUGUCUCCGAGUCUUUGCGUCAGUAGGUCUAGAUCCAGAAACAGGUGGGAGCAUAUGUCUGCCUGUUUGAGCCUGAGAUGUGUGGUCCAGCUGUGUGGGCAGGAGACUGACGGGGACUUCGUCCAGUCCAGUGAGGCAUCCUCCAACAUAACAGGGGGGAGGAUGCUAUAAAUGCCCACUCCCAGGACAGUAGAGAAACCACUCUUCCCUCUGCUAUUCCAGUAACUAUUCUAGUUCAUUUCUUUGUGUCAGUGUGCCACAGAGCCAAACAGUCUCUGUGUUAUUUUCAGUCUUUUCGAUAUUUCACAUGAAGUGUUUUCCCUGUGGUUUGGAACCAUAUUUUACAUACCACUACUUUGCAUUUCUCAUGGCACCUUGAAUACAGGCUUAUAGGAUGUAUUUUCUAUAAGUGACUAAAGAUUCCUAGGAUACCCCAGGGACCACAAUCCAUUCUUCAAAACCCACAUGUGGAUUCUGUACAACCAGUUUCUCAUCUUAACUCUGUUUCCUUCCUGCCCCAAAUGAUCCCAAGGACCCCAUAUCUACCAGUGGUUGAGGAUGCACAUUUGAAUGGGCUCUGAGAGGGGGAUUCUGGGCCAAGUCAGAGCUUUCGCCUAACACAAAUAUUUCCCUUCGUAUGGCCUUGGUUUUGGACUUUCCCACUCUUUAAGGUAGUUCUUUCUUCAGGCUUCUUUCAUCCAUCAUAAUUCUGUGGAGUUUUGGGUUCUUUCCCUUGUUUAUCGUCCAGAGCCAGAACGGGUUGUCUUUUCUGCUUUACUAACCCCCAGGGAGAUGAGUGGAAUCCCCCAAAUAGCUGAGCUCUGACUCAGAGCUUUGAGGACCUUCUCUCUUGGCCUCACUCCCUCAUCUCUUUCCACAGUUUUCAAAUCCCCAAGGUCUAGGGAUCCACUCAUGAUAAAAGUAUCUGUGGCUUCAUGGCGAAGCAACAUCAGGUUCUUGUUUUAAUCCUACAUAGUCAGAGUGCAGACAAUGAGAAAAGCAUUCAUUUGUUGUCAUGUCAAGUCUUUCUAUAGUUUUUAUCGUCCUUGGAACUGCAGGCUGUACUAUCAUGACUUUUGGGGGAAAGUAGAUGCCUACCAUUAUUAGUCUUUGGAAACAUGUGGUUUUCCUAAGGGACAGAAGGGCAGAAGGCCAAAGUUAGGAAAGAUGAAUAAAUGCACUCAUUCCUUUGUCAAAAGUUCUCAAAGGCUGCAUGCCAAGAGAGUAUUUUUGUCUUUGGGCAGCAAUAGUUACCCCUGAAUGAAAACAUGUUAAAUGGGAUUCAUUGGUUUGAAUUAUCAACAUUGUUCAUUAAUGGUUGGAUAAUACACGAGCCAAUCACCUCCCGCCUUCCCUUAGAACAUAUGCCCUUGACCAGCAGCCUUCCUGCCGGUCUUGUUCUUAGCUCCUGUGGGGCCUGCAGAAAGUGGGGGAGGGGAAGCCAGUCAGGACACACAAUGGGGUGCGCUAUGUUGAUGUCAUAGGGAGACAAAGUUGUUUUGUGCUGCUGGUGGUGGCGAUGGGAGAAUUGGGUGUAUGGGGGAUAUCUCUUGUUUAUUAGGAUUUCAAUAUAAGGAGAAAGAAAAGACUACUCCAAUUGUGAAACUUUAAGUAAAAUCCUGUUUAUAUUUAUAGUCCAGGCUGAUGGAGAAAAUCCCUCACUUGAUAACAUCUAUUUUCAUUUGGACUUGAAUUAUUGAUGCUUUUUUAUUCCAUUAAGAUAAGAGUCUUUCAGGAGUUCUGGUCAUGGCUCAGUGGUUAACGAAUCCGACUAAGAACCAUGAGGUUGUGGGUUCAAUCCCUCGCCUUGCUCAGUGGGUUAAGGAUCUGGCGUUGCUGUGAGCUGUGGUGUGGGUCACAGACGAGGCUUGGAUCUGGUGUUGCUGUGGCCCUGGUGUAGACGGUGGCUACAGCUCCGAUUAGACCCUUAGCCUGGGAACCUCCAUAUGCCACAGGAGC